Molecule: ribosomal RNA, 253 nt
Filed under: uncultured bacterium
Lineage: Bacteria
Description: partial 16S ribosomal RNA
Rfam family: Bacterial small subunit ribosomal RNA
Source: RNAcentral
GCAAGUCGAGGGGUAACAGAGAGAAGCUUGCUUCUUUGCUGACGACCGGCGCACGGGUGCGUAACGCGUAUACAAUCUACCUUUUGCUGAGGGAUAGCCAAGAGAAAUUUGGAUUAAUACCUCAUAGUAUCUAUGAAUCGCAUGGUUUAUCUAUUAAAGGUUACGGCAGAAGAUGAGUAUGCGUUCUAUUAGCUAGUUGGUGUGGUAACGGCACACCAAGGCAACGAUAGAUAGGGGGCCUGAGAGGGGGAUC